UACAGAGGGUGCGAGCGUUGUCCGGAAUCACUGGGCGUAAAGGGCGCGUAGGCGGCUUGAUAAGCGUGCGGUGAAAGCCCGGGGCUCAACCCCGGGUCGGCCGUGCGAACUGUCGAGCUGGAGCACUGUAGAGGCAGGUGGAAUUCCGGGUGUAGCGGUGGAAUGCGUAGAGAUCCGGAAGAACACCGGUGGCGAAAGCGGCCUGCUGGGCAGUGGCUGACGCUGAGGCGCGACAGCGUGGGGAGCAAACAGG
RNAcentral lists this ribosomal RNA (253 nucleotides) under uncultured bacterium. Its description in RNAcentral is "partial 16S ribosomal RNA". It matches the Rfam family "Bacterial small subunit ribosomal RNA", at positions 524 to 776 of the family's 1533-position model. The record is from RNAcentral.